Molecule: ribosomal RNA, 527 nt
Filed under: uncultured bacterium
Lineage: Bacteria
Description: bacterial SSU rRNA
Rfam family: Bacterial small subunit ribosomal RNA (bases 13-392)
Source: RNAcentral
GACGAACGCUGGCGGCGUGCCUAAUACAUGCAAGUCGAGCGGGGAUUAUAGCUUGAUCGCUUCGGUGAGACGGCAUAUAUCCUAGCGGCGGACGGGUGAGUAACGCGUGGGUAAUCUACCUCGUAGUUCGGGAUAACGAGGCCGAAAGGCUUGCUAAUACCGGAUGAGUUCAUGCUUAUGCAUAUAGGCAUGAAGAAAGGGCUAGCCCGCUAUGAGUGACGCCCGCGUCCCAUUAGCCUUGUUGGUUGGGGUAAUGGCCUACCAAGGCGACGGAUCAGUAGCCGGGCCUGAGAGGGUGAACGGCCAACCUUGGGAACUGAGACACGUCCACGACUCCUACGGAGGCAGGCUAGUGGGGAAUAGUUGGACAUGGUCGAGAUCGUCAGCUGCCGAAGGCGAAGGGCUCGUCAGGUUACGUAAACUUUCUUUUAGGUUACGGAAACAAACCACCAAUUAGCGUUUGGUCGUACUUCGGAGGGGUUAAACCCGUUAAGGGAAAACUACGGUACAACCGGGACCUUAACCGG